Molecule: long non-coding RNA, 1656 nt
Organism: Anolis carolinensis (green anole)
Lineage: Eukaryota; Metazoa; Chordata; Lepidosauria; Squamata; Anolidae
Exons: 2
Source: RefSeq, a predicted model, not a curated record
GAGAAACAGCAUGUUAUGAUUUAGACACAUGUCAUAGAUGCCAAGUUAUCCUGAGUGGAUAAAAUCCCUGCCAUGAUUCUGCAGGCAGAAAAUACUUAUGAUUGUGAACAUUUCCAAAUGGAAGAGGUUGACUUGUAGCAUGCCAUAAUAUUAGUAUUGAUCCUGUUAGCUUAAAGACCUCGAAGAAAGAAAAUGCAGCAUGGCAGGCAAAGGUGCUGACAAUACAAAAUGGAGGGAGCUUUGCAAGCAUAGAGCUGAGGCGCAAUAAAACUCACAAUAACUCAGAGAGACUGGAAUCAUAGACAAAUAAGUGGCUUAUGAAAUUCAAUUUGGUAAAAGAAAAAAAGCCCCAAGGUAAAGAAUCCCAGGGCUAAACAAUACAAAAGAAAGCUAAAGGAUAGAAAAGCAUUUGCUGAAAUGGCUAUUAUUUUACUAUUCACAUCCAGGGAAGGUGUUUAUUAUAAAUUAGAAUUUUGAGAAGUAUCCUAGCAGCACUAAGGAGUUCUAUUUCAGUCAUUGUUUCUAAAUGUCAAAGCACGGAGCAUGAGAAAGAGGAGACAGAGGAGAAGAAAACUGGGGAGCAGGCAAAAAUGAAAGAAGUAGCAGCCAUCUCAAAUAUUGAGUUCUUCAGCAUGUUCCAUAUUCCAGAAAGAAGAGAUGCUGAAAGAAAGAAGACUACACUACGACAGCACAGCCUCUUUGCAGUCUCCCAGUCAAGAGCUUCCAAAUAACAGACUGGGCAUGUGUCCCCCUUUACAAGAGGAGAUGCCUUCCUUAUGCCUUCUGUGUCAAUGGAUGCCCAAGUCUUCUUUAAAGAAAAAGAACUAUAAGAAGCAAGAGCAGGAACCUUGAAUUUUUUCCAUCAAUCAACAGCACCUAGACUGCAGACUGAACAUUCAUACAGGCCUUCAAUGAAUUUUGGAGUUAUGGCGAACCUAAAGGUCUUCUAGGUGAGAUGUAUUCAGAGGGACUUUAUCUUUGCCUUCCUCUGCAUCCAAGAAAAUGUGAUUUGUCCAAGGUUAACCAAUAGGUUUCCAUAAGUAUGUGGAGAUUUGAACCCUGGUCUCCAGAGUCACUCACCAGUGAUGGCCCUCCAGGUGUUUUGGACAUCAGCUCCCAGAAUUCCUGGCCAUUGGACAAAUUGGGGAGCACCAAUGUGGCCAACACAGCCAGUGAUUUCAGAGAGAAGAGCUCAGAAGAGAGACCUCAUUGGACUAUAAAUUUCCAGAAUGCCACAUUGAACAUGCUGGCUGGGAAUUCUGGUACUUGCAAUCCAGUGAUGUAACAUUUCAAAGGAGCCUGGUUGAUCAACUAUGGAAUUAGAACAUGGCAGAAAUUAUGCAGGUUUCCAGAUGUUGAACUGCGCAUCCCAGCAGCCCUAGCUAACAUAGCUAAUGGGGAAGAAUGCUGGGAGCUGCAAUCCAACAAUAUCGAAAUGGCCACUUAACUUCCACAGCUGAAUUAAAGGAUCUGAAACAUUUUGAGAAUCGUCUGCCUUCACAAUUAGCAAAAUGACCAACUCAGAACCAUUUCUCAUGCUGCAAAACACAGCAUUGUCUGCUUUUUAAUGAUACUAGUUAUGCAUCUGUAUAAAUCUCCGAAGUAUUGCUGCUACUGCAGAAGGAAGCAGAUGAAAUAAAUGUCCCCAGAAAGAUA